CCUACGGGUGACAGCAGUGGGGAAUAUUGCACAAUGGGGGAAACCCUGAUGCAGCGACGCCGCGUGAGUGAUGAAGUAUUUCGGUACGUAAAGCUCUAUCAGCAGGGAAGAUAAUGACGGUACCUCACUAAUAAGCCCCGGCUAACUACGUGCCAGCAGCCGCGGUAAUACGUAGGGGGCAAGCGUUAUCCGGAUUUACUGGGCGUAAAGGGUGCGUAGGCGGGCUGGUAAGUCUGAAGUGAAAUCCUGUAGCUUAACCAUAGAACUGCUUUGGAAACUAUGCAGCUGGAGUGCAGGAGAGGUAGGCGGAAUUCGUGGUGUAGCGGUGAAAUGCGUAGAUAUUAGGAGGAACACCAGUGGCGAAGGCGACUUACUGGAAUGUAACUGACGUUGAGGCACGAAAGCGUGGGGAGCAAACAGGAUUAGAUACGCGAGUAGUC
RNAcentral lists this ribosomal RNA (440 nucleotides) under uncultured bacterium. RNAcentral's name for it is "partial 16S ribosomal RNA". It matches the Rfam family "Bacterial small subunit ribosomal RNA", at positions 338 to 795 of the family's 1533-position model. The record is from RNAcentral.